This 2625-nucleotide long non-coding RNA is filed under the name Gossypium barbadense (sea-island cotton). RNAcentral's name for it is "long non-coding RNA (GBAR_LNC015676)". Lineage: Eukaryota; Viridiplantae; Streptophyta; Magnoliopsida; Malvales; Malvaceae. The record is from RNAcentral.
AAACAUGAUGGGAACAGUAGAAAGAAAGAUAGGUGCAACGGAAAUAAAAGACAACAGAUGAAAAGAAGAAAAUUUUAUUAAAUAGGAGGACUAGUACAAAAAAAGGAAAAUUUAAACAUUGCCCUCAACUGGCUGAUCAGAGGUCCCUUCUGCGUCCUCUUCCGCUUUGUCACUGGCUUCCUCGAUAGGGGCAUGAGUAGUUGGCUUAGAUUCUGGUGGAAAGAAGAAGUUGUCUCAUUCCUUCCACUUUUUCUAGAAUUCCUCCAACUCAGUCCCAAAAUGAUUCAUCAUAUCAAAAUCCAUAUCAACAUUGUUGAAACUAUGCAUGCAACUAAAGUUGACUUGGCUCAGAUCAAAAGGCCCCACGAUGACUUAGGCGUGAAGGAUGUGGUUAGACUGCAAUUUGGGAAUGUAAUUUUGUAUCCCCAUCGUGGUUUCUACCUUUUCAUGCUUCAGGGCUUUAUUGUUUUCCUUCUACACCCUUUCUAGGUCCACCAAACAUUGUUCUUCUAAAGAAGUGGUCUGGCUCUUUAGUUGGUGUAUCUUUUCUUUAGAAUCUUCCUUAAGGGAAUUUUAUUUUGUUUCCUAGCUAGAGACAGAUUCAGUGAGCUCAUUGUUUUGGUGGAUUGUGGUCUCAUAAGUUUGGUGAAGCUGGGCUAGUUCUUGAUUUUUGGAAGUCAAGAUCUUUUUUAGUUCAACUCGUUUAGCUUCACUUCCACUAUAAUAUUGGCGGAGGGCCCAACCAAGGAGUCCGUAUUAUUCCAUCAUAACUUGGUAAGUAUCCACUAACUCUGGAAAAGUUGAUUGGUGGGCUUCAGAAGAAAGGAAGGCGCGGUUCUUCAACACUUGAGGAAAACUCAUCUCCCAUAUUUGGUUGACUUAAAAGGGAGAGAAAGGGGACUGACCUAUGUUGGCAUGGUUUCUCUACGGGAAUAAGGUAGAUACCCGACCAGAGGAAGAAGGAAUUGGAAUUGGACCAAGUGGAGAAGUCAGCAGUACAGAAUGGAAAGUGCUGGGAGUGGGUUCUUUAGGAAGAGGUGGAGAAACAAGAGUUAAGUCCACAAGAGGGGCAGACUUUGAUUGUAUCUCGGGGUGAGAAGUGAGGGCUGGAGGAGUAACCUCUCUUCCUAGAUUGAAUAGUCCCUUGUCGCGCCUACGGUGGACCAGUAUACUUCCACUACUCUCUCCAGUACUUUGAGAGCCCCCUCUAGCCCUUAGCCUGUUGCGAAUGCUACUGCCCGGUUGCACCCUUUAAUUCACCACUACAAUGAUCUCAUUCUCUCUCUCCAUCAAGGCUUCCACAUCCUUACCACUUGAGGUUUAUGAUGGGAUGGAAGAUUGAGCAGAACCUGCAACAGUAAGAUUAGGGUCAGCCAUAUGAAGAACCAAACCUCUACUGGAAUACUUACUAAUGAAAAUUGCUGGCGAGAUAGACUAGUGUCGUACGCGCAACUUGUAUACGGAGUAUAAAAAUUGUGGGGGUUCAUCUUUCCUCCUCACCAACACAAGGGCUAGGUCAUCAGAGGCAUUGUAGGGCCAUCUUAUUUCGGCAAAGAGUACAACUUAGGGAUUUAGAACGACAAAAAUGUGCAAGUGUACAAAGUCAUGGCAAGUAAUAAAGUGAUAAGUAUCAAGUAUCGUCUCCAAGGGAUGGUCAAACAAUUUUUUGUGAGAAAUUAAAACUUGAACAAAUUGGUGAUGGAAAAAUAAUAUGAGUUGAAAAUGUGGGGUAAAUAAAUAAAAGUGAAUUAACUAACUAAUUUAAUGAACUAAAAUUUAUCUAAGUAUGUAAUUAAAAAUUAAAAUAGAAAAUGCAGUUUAAGAGUUUAUCACAUGGCAUUCUUGUGUUAGAACAAUCAUCCUUCCUAGCUUAGAAUCAUUCAUAUUGUUAAAAGAUUUUACAGAGAUUCCAUGAAUAAAUUGAUCAUUUAUUAACCCUAAUUAAAUUGAGUAAAAAUAUUUAACUUAAUUAAUUACUAAACCUAUCUCACAUAUUUCUAUGUUUAAUAGACUUAAAAUUUUCAUAAGCAAAACAUAUUAUAGGGUUAUGUAAGGUAAAAAUAGUUUAGGUAUUAUUACAUAUUUAAUGCAUACAUGAUUAUACAUUACACCAUAUAAGUAUUUUAUCAAUUAAUCAAAAUCUUGUUCAUAUUAAUUAAUUAAUUCAUAAAUUUCUUCACAUUAAACAUGCAUAAGAAACUUAAUUGUGAUUUUACUUGUACGAAUAAAUAGAUCAAAAGCACAGAACAUCUUUUAACAUAUGAAUAAAGCAAACUAUGGAAAUUAGAUCAUUCUAACACCAACGAAUUUAAGCAUCCAUGAUUAUAUUGAAAAUCAAAUACUUAGUUGAAAUCAUGUUUAUGAAUUGAACAAAAAAAAAUAUUGAAAGGGAAGAAGAAACUCUAGCCAAUUCUGGAAGAUCCCAAGGCAUAAAAUGCUUACUCCUUUUGUUCUUCUUUCUUGCCACCACAAUUAAGCUAGGAAAAUCUUAAUAUAGCCGAAUAUGGGCUACUUUCAAGUCUGUGCAAUAAUCUUUUUCAGAGGGAAGAACUACGGAAUGGAAAAAAGAGAAAAAAGAACACAAGUGGAGAGGAAAUGAAUAGAGAAUGGAUGGCUGAAUGAGAU